UGCAACUGACAUUGAGGCUCGAAAGUGUGGGUAUCAAACAGGAUUAGAUACCCUGGUAGUCCACACGGUAAACGAUGAAUACUCGCUGUUUGCGAUAUACAGCAAGCGGCCAAGCGAAAGCGUUAAGUAUUCCACCUGGGGAGUACGCCGGCAACGGUGAAACUCAAAGGAAUUGACGGGGGCCCGCACAAGCGGAGGAACAUGUGGUUUAAUUCGAUGAUACGCGAGGAACCUUACCCGGGCUUAAAUUGCAGAUGAAUUACGGUGAAAGCCGUAAGCCGCAAGGCAUCUGUGAAGGUGCUGCAUGGUUGUCGUCAGCUCGUGCCGUGAGGUGUCGGCUUAAGUGCCAUAACGAGCGCAACCCUUGUUGUCAGUUACUAACAGGUUCCGCUGAGGACUCUGACAAGACUGCCAUCGUAAGAUGUGAGGAAGGUGGGGAUGACGUCAAAUCAGCACGGCCCUUACGUCCGGGGCUACACACGUGUUACAAUGGGGGGUACAGAGGGCCGCUACCACGCGAGUGGAUGCCAAUCCCAAAAACCUCUCUCAGUUCGGACUGGAGUCUGCAACCCGACUCCACGAAGCUGGAUUCGUUAGUAAUCGCGCAUCAGCCACGGCGCGGUGAAUACGUUCCCGGGCCUUGUACACACCGCCCGUCAAGCCAUGGGAGCCGGGGGUACCUGAAGUGCGUAACCGCGAGGAGCGCCCUAGGGUAAAAUCAAU
This 723-nucleotide ribosomal RNA is filed under the name uncultured organism. RNAcentral describes it as "SSU rRNA". It matches the Rfam family "Bacterial small subunit ribosomal RNA", at positions 735 to 1472 of the family's 1533-position model. The record is from RNAcentral.